GUGGCCGGAGGGUCUGUCGCUCGUCAGCGUAUGAAUGGCGAGAGGAAAGUCCGGGCAACACAGAGCACCAUACUUGCUAACGGCAAGCUAUCGGCAACGGUAGAGUAAUGUGACAGAAAAUUACCGCCACGGCGCCCUUUGGGGUGUUGGGGUAAGGGUGAAAAGGUGAGGUAAGAGCUCACCGGGUCCCGUAGCGAUACGGGAUGCCGUACGUCUUAUGGGUUGUAAGGUCAUGUAUACCGGCGCAUGUAGGAUGGCUCGUCCGAUGCCGGGGGGUAGACCGCUAAAGCUUACCGGCGACGGUAAGACAAGAUAAAUGGCAGGCGCCUCUUUCCAAAGAGGUACAGGACCCGGCUUAUAGGCAGACUGCUUUU
Molecule: RNase P RNA, 374 nt
Filed under: Porphyromonadaceae bacterium
Lineage: Bacteria; Pseudomonadati; Bacteroidota; Bacteroidia; Bacteroidales; Porphyromonadaceae
Description: RNase P RNA component class A
Rfam family: Bacterial RNase P class A
About the family: Ribonuclease P (RNase P) is a ubiquitous endoribonuclease, found in archaea, bacteria and eukarya as well as chloroplasts and mitochondria.
Source: RNAcentral